ACGCUAGCUACAGGCUUAACACAUGCAAGUCGAGGGGCAGCAUGGUCUUAGCUUGCUAAGGCCGAUGGCGACCGGCGCACGGGUGAGUAACACGUAUCCAACCUGCCGUCUACUCUUGGACAGCCUUCUGAAAGGAAGAUUAAUACAAGAUGGCAUCAUGAGUCCGCAUGUUCACAUGAUUAAAGGUAUUCCGGUAGACGAUGGGGAUGCGUUCCAUUAGAUAGUAGGCGGGGUAACGGCCCACCUAGUCUUCGAUGGAUAGGGGUUCUGAGAGGAAGGUCCCCCACAUUGGAACUGAGACACGGUCCAAACUCCUACGGGAGGCAGCAGUGAGGAAUAUUGGUCAAUGGGCGCAGGCCUGAACCAGCCAAGUAGCGUGAAGGAUGACUGCCCUAUGGGUUGUAAACUUCUUUUAUAAAGGAAUAAAGUCGGGUAUGUAUGCCCGUUUGCAUGUACUUUAUGAAUAAGGAUCGGCUAACUCCGUGCCAGCAGCCGCGGUAAUACGGAGGAUCCGAGCGUUAUCCGGAUUUAUUGGGUUUAAAGGGAGCGUAGAUGGAUGUUUAAGUCAGUUGUGAAAGUUUGCGGCUCAACCGUAAAAUUGCAGUUGAUACUGGAUAUCUUGAGUGCAGUUGAGGCAGGCGGAAUUCGUGGUGUAGCGGUGAAAUGCUUAGAUAUCACGAAGAACUCCGAUUGCGAAGGCAGCCUGCUAAGCUGCAACUGACAUUGAGGCUCGAAAGUGUGGGUAUCAAACAGGAUUAGAUACCCUGGUAGUCCACACGGUAAACGAUGAAUACUCGCUGUUUGCGAUAUACAGCAAGCGGCCAAGCGAAAGCGUUAAGUAUUCCACCUGGGGAGUACGCCGGCAACGGUGAAACUCAAAGGAAUUGACGGGGGCCCGCACAAGCGGAGGAACAUGUGGUUUAAUUCGAUGAUACGCGAGGAACCUUACCCGGGCUUAAAUUGCAGAUGAAUUACGGUGAAAGCCGUAAGCCGCAAGGCAUCUGUGAAGGUGCUGCAUGGUUGUCGUCAGCUCGUGCCGUGAGGUGUCGGCUUAAGUGCCAUAACGAGCGCAACCCUUGUUGUCAGUUACUAACAGGUUCUGCUGAGGACUCUGACAAGACUGCCAUCGUAAGAUGUGAGGAAGGUGGGGAUGACGUCAAAUCAGCACGGCCCUUACGUCCGGGGCUACACACGUGUUACAAUGGGGGGUACAGAGGGCCGCUACCACGCGAGUGGAUGCCAAUCCCAAAAACCUCUCUCAGUUCGGACUGGAGUCUGCAACCCGACUCCACGAAGCUGGAUUCGCUAGUAAUCGCGCAUCAGCCACGGCGCGGUGAAUACGUUCCCGGGCCUUGUACACACCGCCCGUCAAGCCAUGGGAGCCGGGGGUACCUGAAGUGCGUAACCGCGAGGAGCGCCCUAGGGUAAAACUGG
This 1434-nucleotide ribosomal RNA is filed under the name uncultured organism. Its description in RNAcentral is "16S ribosomal RNA". It matches the Rfam family "Bacterial small subunit ribosomal RNA". The record is from RNAcentral.